GACGAACGCUGGCGGCGUGCUUAACACAUGCAAGUCGAACGGAAAGGCCCUGCUUGCAGGGUACUCGAGUGGCGAACGGGUGAGUAACACGCGGGUGAUCUGCCCUGCACUUCGGGAUAUGCCUGGGAAACUGGGUCUAAUACCGCAUAGAAGCCCUCUUUAGUGUGAUGGUUGGAAAGUUUUUUCGGUGUGGGAUGAGCUCGCGGCCUAUCAGCUUGUUGGUGGGGUAAUGGCCUACCAAGGCGGCGGAGGGUAGCCGGCCCGGGAGGGUGGACGGCCACAAUUGGGCCGGAGUACGGCCCAAGACCCCUCGGGGAGGCAGCAGGGGGGAUAUUGCAAAAUUGGCGGGAGCCUGGAGCAAGGACGCCGCGGGGGGGAUGACGGGCUUCGGGUUGGAAACUCGUUUCGGUAGGGGCGAAGGUUUGUGUGACGGUACCUAGAUAAGAAGCACCGGCUAACUACGUG
Molecule: ribosomal RNA, 465 nt
Filed under: uncultured bacterium
Lineage: Bacteria
Description: partial 16S ribosomal RNA
Rfam family: Bacterial small subunit ribosomal RNA
Source: RNAcentral